GUUGCCGGUCAUAGGGUGGGGGGAAACACCCGGUCUCAUUCCGAACCCGGAAGUUAAGCCCCUGCCCGCCUGGUGAGUAGUGGGGUGGGAGACCACCCGUGAAAACCAGGUACUGGCAACC
RNAcentral lists this ribosomal RNA (121 nucleotides) under Nitrososphaeria archaeon. Lineage: Archaea; Thermoproteati; Nitrososphaerota; Nitrososphaeria. The record is from RNAcentral.